Molecule: ribosomal RNA, 499 nt
Filed under: Cucumaria sp. ZP0016
Lineage: Eukaryota; Metazoa; Echinodermata; Holothuroidea; Dendrochirotida; Cucumariidae
Description: partial 16S ribosomal RNA
Rfam family: Bacterial large subunit ribosomal RNA
Source: RNAcentral
AAACAUAGCCCCUUGAAUAAAAAUAAGGGGUAAUGCCUGCCCAAUGGAACACUAUAAAUGGCCGCGGUAUCUUGACCGUGCAAAGGUAGCAUAAUCAUUUGUCUCUUAAAUAGGGACCUGCAUGAAUGGCAACACAUUUUCUAACUGUCUCCUUUCUUACCCUUCUAAACUUCUACUAAUGUGAAGAAGCAUUAAUAAAAAAGAAAGACGAGAAGACCCUGUCGAGCUUAAACUUCCCAAAGAGAAAACUACACCUUUAAAAGAAAAACACAUCCACAAAGAAGUUUUGGUUGGGGUAACCAUGGAGUAAAAAAAAUCUCCAGAAAAAUAAAAAGAUAAACAAUCAACAAUUAAAAACAAAAAGAACCAAAAUUCUUGGCAAUCAGAAAAAGUUACCGCAGGGAUAACAGCGUUAUCUCCUUUAAGAGUUCAUAUUGACAAGGAGGAUUGCGACCUCGAUGUUGGAUUGGGGCUACCAGAGGGUGCAGAAGCUCUCCAG